CAAUAGCGUAUAUUAAAGUUGUUGCAGUUAAAAAGCUCGUAGUUGGAUUUCUGGUUGAAGCGACCGGUCGGGCGUUGAUUCGUCUGCACUGGAGUCGGUUUUGGCCAUCCUCUAGGAAAGUGCGUCUGGUAUUAAGUUAUCGGGCGUAUGAUCCUGGUCUUUUACUGUGAAAAAAUUAGAGUGUUUAAAGCAGGCCUUCGCCUUGAAUACAUUAGCAUGGAAUAAUAAGAUAGGACUUUGGUCUAUUUUGUUGGUUUGCAGACCGAAGUAAUGAUUAAUAGGGAUAGUUGGGGGUAUUUAUAUUCCGAUGUCAGAGGUGAAAUUCUUAGAUUUUCGGAAGAUAAACUUAUGCGAAAGCACUUACCAAGGAUGUUUUCAUUAA
RNAcentral lists this ribosomal RNA (382 nucleotides) under uncultured eukaryote. RNAcentral describes it as "partial 18S ribosomal RNA". It matches the Rfam family "Eukaryotic small subunit ribosomal RNA", at positions 592 to 976 of the family's 1831-position model. The record is from RNAcentral.